Molecule: ribosomal RNA, 524 nt
Filed under: uncultured bacterium
Lineage: Bacteria
Description: partial 16S ribosomal RNA
Rfam family: Bacterial small subunit ribosomal RNA
Source: RNAcentral
UGGGGAAUAUUGCACAACGGGCGAAAGCCUGAUGCAGCAACGCCGCGUGAGUGAUGAAGGCCUUCGGGUUGUAAAGCUCUGUCUUUUGGGACGAUAAUGACGGUACCAAAGGAGGAAGCCACGGCUAACUACGUGCCAGCAGCCGCGGUAAUACGUAGGUGGCAAGCGUUGUCCGGAUUUACUGGGCGUAAAGGAUGCGUAGGCGGAUUUUUAAGUGAGAUGUGAAAACCCUAAGCUUAACUUGGGGACUGCAUUUCAUACUGGAAAUCUAGAGUGCGGGAGGGGAGAAUGGAAUUCCUAGUGUAGCGGUGAAAUGCGUAGAGAUUAGGAAGAACACCAGUGGCGAAGGCGAUUCUCUGGACCGUAACUGACGCUGAGGCAUGAAAGCGUGGGUAGCAAACAGGAUUAGAUACCCUGGUAGUCCACGCCGUAAACGAUGAGUACUAGGUGUAGGAGGUAUCGACCCCUUCUGUGCCGCAGUUAACACAAUAAGUACUCCGCCUGGGAAGUACGAUCGCAAGAUU